This 253-nucleotide ribosomal RNA is filed under the name uncultured bacterium. RNAcentral's name for it is "partial 16S ribosomal RNA". It matches the Rfam family "Bacterial small subunit ribosomal RNA", at positions 524 to 776 of the family's 1533-position model. The record is from RNAcentral.
UACGAAGGGGGCUAGCGUUGCUCGAAAUGACUGGGCGUAAAGGGCGCGUAGGCGGCCUGGUAAGUAGGGGGUGAAAUCCUGCGGCUUAACCGCAGGGCUGCCUUCUAAACUGUCAGGCUUGAGCACGGUAGAGGCAGAUGGAAUUCCCGGUGUAGCGGUGGAAUGCGUAGAGAUCGGGAAGAACAUCAGUGGCGAAGGCGGUCUGCUGGGCCGUUGCUGACGCUGAGGCGCGACAGCGUGGGGAGCAAACAGG